RNAcentral lists this ribosomal RNA (399 nucleotides) under uncultured bacterium. RNAcentral's name for it is "bacterial SSU rRNA". It matches the Rfam family "Bacterial small subunit ribosomal RNA", at positions 355 to 771 of the family's 1533-position model. The record is from RNAcentral.
UGGGGAAUCUUGGACAAUGGGGGAAACCCUGAUCCAGCCAUGCCGCGUGAACGACGAAGGCCUUAGGAUUGUAAAGUUCUUUCAGCGGGGAAGAUAAUGACGGUACCCGCAGAAGAAGCCCCGGCUAACUCCGUGCCAGCAGCCGCGGUAAUACGGAGGGGGCUAGCGUUGUUCGGAAUUACUGGGCGUAAAGCGCACGUAGGCGGACUGUUUAGUCGGGGGUGAAAUCCCGGGGCUCAACCCCGGAACUGCCUCCGAUACUGGCAGUCUGGAGUCCGAGAGAGGUGAGUGGAAUUCCGAGUGUAGAGGUGAAAUUCGUAGAUAUUCGGAGGAACACCAGUGGCGAAGGCGGCUCACUGGCUCGGUACUGACGCUGAGGUGCGAAAGCGUGGGGAGCAA